AUUUUGGACAAUGGGGUAAACCCUGAUCCAGACAUCCCGCGUGUAUGAUGAAGGCCUUAGGGUUGUAAAAUACUUUUGGCAGAGAAGAAAAGGUAUCCCCAACUACGGGAUACAGCUGACGGUAUCCGCAGAAUAAGCUCCGGCUAACUACGUGCCAGCAGCCGCGGUAAUACGUAGGGUGCAAACGUUAACCAGAAUUACUGGGCGUAAAGCGUGUGUAGGCGGUUCGCAAAGAAAGAUGUGAAAUCCCAGGGCUCAACCUUGGAACUGCAUUUUUAACUGCCGAGCUAGAGUAUGUCAGAGGGGGGUAGAAUUCCACGUGUAGCAGUGAAAUGCGUAGAUAUGUAGAGGAAUACCGAUGGCGAAGGCAGCCCCCUGGGAUAAUACUGACGCUCAGACACGAAAGCGUGGGGAGCAAACAGG
Molecule: ribosomal RNA, 423 nt
Filed under: uncultured bacterium
Lineage: Bacteria
Description: partial 16S ribosomal RNA
Rfam family: Bacterial small subunit ribosomal RNA
Source: RNAcentral